Molecule: ribosomal RNA, 497 nt
Filed under: uncultured bacterium
Lineage: Bacteria
Description: partial 16S ribosomal RNA
Rfam family: Bacterial small subunit ribosomal RNA
Source: RNAcentral
GAUGAACGCUGGCGGCGUGCCUAAUACAUGCGAGUCGAGCGAACGGACGAGAAGCUUGCUUCUCUGAUGUUAGCGGCGGACGGGUGAGUAACACGUGGAUAACCUACCUAUAAGACUGGGAUAACUUCGGGAAACCGGAGCUAAUACCGGAUAAUAUUUUGAACCGCAUGGUUCAAAAGUGAAAGACGGUCUUGCUGUCACUUAUAGAUGGAUCCGCGCUGCAUUAGCUAGUUGGUAAGGUAACGGCUUACCAAGGCAACGAUGCAUAGCCGACCUGAGAGGGUGAUCGGCCACACUGGAACUGAGACACGGUCCAGACUCCUACGGGGGGCAGCAGUAGGGAAUCUUCCGCAAUGGGCGAAAGCCUGACGGAGCAACGCCGCGUGAGUGAUGAAGGUCUUCGGAUCGUAAAACUCUGUUAUUAGGGAAGAACAUAUGUGUAAGUAACUGUGCACAUCUUGACGGUACCUAAUCAGAAAGCCACGGCUAACUACGUG